This 1218-nucleotide long non-coding RNA is filed under the name Brassica rapa (field mustard). RNAcentral's name for it is "long non-coding RNA (BRAP_LNC001759)". Lineage: Eukaryota; Viridiplantae; Streptophyta; Magnoliopsida; Brassicales; Brassicaceae. The record is from RNAcentral.
AAAUAUCACCAACGCCAAAAAAAUUUAAUCAAGUGCACGAAAACUAUAAUAUAUAUAAAACUACAACAAAUACAUUAGUUAAUGAAAAAUCCUUUUUAAAAAGUAUUAUGGAUGCAUACAUAAAUAUUUAGUGAAAUGUAUAAAAGGAAAUAAAAAUAACAAUAACUUGAAGAACAAAAUGUAUAAGACUGAGAAUAUUAAUGAUUUGUGAUUUAAUAUAUAUUCAACUUAUUGUCACAAAAAACUUAAUAAAAAAAUACAUACUCUGUUUAAAGACCAUUAAAAAUUACGUUAAAACUUUUAACAUUUUAAGAGAAAUUAUGAAUCAAUAAUAUUAAUUUUAUCCGAAAAAUUCAGCACUAAAUGCACAAAAAAAAAAAAAACCUUAAACUUUAUAAUCCUAAGCAUUAUUCCAAACGAAACCUUAAACCCAACCUAAACCAAACGCUAAACCUUUUCUACUACCUAAACCCUAAAUCCUACCUAACCCUAAACCCUACCUAAACCUAGACCUUAACCCUAUCUAACCCUAAACCCUACAUAAACCUAACCCUAAUCCCUAAACCCUUCAUACUACCUAACCCUAAACCCUGUUUAACCCUAAACCCUACCUAACCCUAAACCCUUCCUAACCCUAAAACCCUACCUAAAACCUAACCCUAAAUCCUACUAACCCUAAACCCUACUAUCCCUUAACCCUACCUAACCCUAACCCUACAUAACCCUAAACCCUACUAACCCUACCUAACCCUAAACCCUACUAACCCUAAACCCUACUAACCCUAAACCCUACCUAACCCUAAACCCUACCUAACCCUAAACCCUUUCUAGCCCUAAACCCUACCUAACCCUAAACCCCAUCUAACGCUAAACCCUACCUAAACCUAAACCCCUUCUAACCUUAAACCUGACCUAACCCUAAACCAUGCCUAACCCUAAACCCUACCUAACCCUUUUUAGCCGUAAAUCCUUCUAACCCUAAACCCUUUCUAACCCUAAACCAUGCUAACCCUAAACCCUACCUAACCCUAAAUCCUACUAACCCUAAAUCCUACCUAACCUAAACCCUACCUAACCCUAAAACCUUUCUAACCCUAAACCCUUUCUAGCCCUAAACCCUACCUAACCCUAAACCCUACCUAACCCUAAACCCUACCUAACCCUCAACCCUACCUACCCUAAACCCUUUUUAACCCUAAACCCUACCUAACCUAAAAC